CUUAAAGCUUUUGGAAGGUUUAUGUGCUUCUUGUGGUGCGGUGACACUGAUGGCCGUCAUGAAUUAUCUGCUGGUUUCUCUUAUUUUGUUUUUCAAAAGUUUAACUUUUGUUACCUCGGAGAACACGAACCCUACUGAAAACCGAUUAUUGGGACUUUACCAAGGAGACAUCCUUCUCCGCAAUGGAACGAGUUAUUCACUUGACAGAAAUGCUGUAACUGCAGCAAAUGCUAGAUGGCCAAAUGGAGUGGUAUACUACACCUUGGAUGACAUUUACACGGAAAGUGAUAAAGAAGUUAUACGUUCAGCGAUUGAAGAAUUCGAGAAACAAACCUGCAUCAAAUGGGUGGAGAGAACAGACGAAGACGAUUAUGUGGAAAUCUAUAAUGAACAAGGGUGCUUUUCUGAACUCGGCCGAAUGGGUGGUGUCCAAUCGAUGUCAUUAGAAUCACCUAGCUGCAUGAAGAAAGGCGUAAUUAUGCACGAAAUGAUGCAUGCAUUGGGUUUCUUACACGAGCAAUCUCGUCCUGACAGGGACGACUACAUCCAAGUUCUUUGGGAUAAUAUAAUUCGAGAUAUUCGUUGUUUGGACUUACUUUAAAGAUCUGUAAAGAAUGGAAUGCAUUGAAUACAGGCAGACCUCCGUUAAUUAACUUUCAUUGAUAUCAAUUCAUCAAAAAAGGAAUGGAGCCUAAUUUUCAAAAAUUAUCUCCUUUGGAACUGAAUGAUCUCGGUCUGGAUUACGACUAUCGUUCGAUCAUGCAUUACACGGCUCAUAUGUUCGCUGUUGAUAGGUCGCAUCCUACAAUAGAGCCUGU
RNAcentral lists this unclassified non-coding RNA (818 nucleotides) under Stegodyphus dumicola. RNAcentral's name for it is "zinc metalloproteinase nas-4-like, transcript variant X2". The record is from RNAcentral. Lineage: Eukaryota; Metazoa; Arthropoda; Arachnida; Araneae; Eresidae.